GAGAAGCUUGCUUCUUGGGUGGCGAGUGGCGAACGGGUGAGUAAUAUAUCGGAACGUACCGAGUAAUGGGGGAUAACUAAUCGAAAGAUUAGCUAAUACCGCAUAUUCUCUGAGGAGGAAAGCAGGGGACCUUCGGGCCUUGCGUUAUUCGAGCGGCCGAUAUCUGAUUAGCUAGUUGGUGGGGUAAAGGCCUACCAAGGCGACGAUCAGUAGCGGGUCUGAGAGGAUGAUCCGCCACACUGGGACUGAGACACGGCCCAGACUCCUACGGGAGGCAGCAGUGGGGAAUUUUGGACAAUGGGCGCAAGCCUGAUCCAGCCAUGCCGCGUGUCUGAAGAAGGCCUUCGGGUUGUAAAGGACUUUUGUCAGGGAAGAAAAGGCUGUUGCUAAUACCGACAGCUGAUGACUUCUCCUGAAGAAUAAGC
RNAcentral lists this ribosomal RNA (425 nucleotides) under Neisseria flavescens. Its description in RNAcentral is "bacterial SSU rRNA". It matches the Rfam family "Bacterial small subunit ribosomal RNA", at positions 73 to 491 of the family's 1533-position model. Lineage: Bacteria; Pseudomonadati; Pseudomonadota; Betaproteobacteria; Neisseriales; Neisseriaceae. The record is from RNAcentral.